This 87-nucleotide ribosomal RNA is filed under the name Escherichia coli. Lineage: Bacteria; Pseudomonadati; Pseudomonadota; Gammaproteobacteria; Enterobacterales; Enterobacteriaceae. RNAcentral also lists the same sequence under 1 other name. The record is from RNAcentral.
UGAUCCCAUGCCGAACUCAGAAGUGAAACGCCGUAGCGCCGAUGGUAGUGUGGGGUCUCCCCAUGCGAGAGUAGGGAACUGCCAGGC